ACGGCUCAGUAACACGUGGCUAAUCUGCCCUUGGGACCGGAACACCCCCGGGAAACUGGGGCUAAUUCUCGAUAGGUGAAGAACUCUGGAAUGAGUCUUUGCCAAAAAGACGUUUGCGUUAUGCUCGUAGGCGUCGCCCAAGGAUGAGGCCGCGACCGAUCAGGUUGUUGGUGAGGUAAUGGCUCACCAAGCCUUUUACCGGUGCGGGCCGUGAGAGCGGGAGCCCGGAGAUGGGCACUGAGACAAGGGCCCAGGCCCUACGGGGCGCAGCAGUCGCGAAAACUUUGCAAUACACGAAAGUGUGACAGGGCUAUCCCGAGUGCCAUCCGCUGAGGAAGGCUUUUACCCAGUCUAGAACGCUGGGGGAAUAAGGAGAGGGCAAGUCUGGUGUCAGCCGCCGCGGUAAUACCAGCUCUCCGAGUGGUGUGGAUGUUUAUUGGGCCUAAAGCAUCCGUAGCUGGCUAAGUUAGUCCCUUGUUAAAUCCACCGAAUUAAUCGUUGGAUUGCGGGGGAUACUGCUUAGCUAGGGGACGAGAGAGGCAGACGGUAUUUCCGGGGUAGGGGUGAAAUCCUAUAAUCCCGGGAAGACCACCAGUGGCGAAGGCUGUCUGCUAGAACGCGCCCGACGGUGAGGGAUGAAAGCUGGGGGAGCGAACCGGAUUAGAUACCCGGGUAGUCCCAGCUGUAAACGAUGCACGCUAGGUGUUUGGACGGCCACGUGCCGUUCUAGUGCCGCAGGGAAGCUGUUAAGCCUGCCGCCUGGGGAGUACGAUCGCAAGAUUGAAACUUAAAGGAAUUGGCGGGGGAG
This 808-nucleotide ribosomal RNA is filed under the name uncultured archaeon. Its description in RNAcentral is "bacterial SSU rRNA". It matches the Rfam family "Archaeal small subunit ribosomal RNA", at positions 85 to 876 of the family's 1478-position model. The record is from RNAcentral.